UUCCAAAGUGUUGAGUUCAGUUCAGGGUAGCUUCCCUGGUCUGGUAAUUAAACUUUGGAACAUUAAAACUGGCUGUGGAAAAUGAUUGAGUAGAAAAUGUUUCUCUAUUUAUUCGUUUUUCCCCUGCCUACAAAA
This is a small nucleolar RNA of Otolemur garnettii (small-eared galago), 135 nucleotides long. The record is from Ensembl. NCBI's taxonomy places the organism in Eukaryota, Metazoa, Chordata, Mammalia, Primates, Galagidae.